Molecule: ribosomal RNA, 478 nt
Filed under: uncultured bacterium
Lineage: Bacteria
Description: partial 16S ribosomal RNA
Rfam family: Bacterial small subunit ribosomal RNA
Source: RNAcentral
GACGAACGCUGGCGGCGUGCUUAACACAUGCAAGUCGAACGGUAAGGCCCUUCGGGGUACACGAGUGGCGAACGGGUGAGUAACACGUGGGUGAUCUGCCCUGCACUUCGGGAUAAGCCUGGGAAACUGGGUCUAAUACCGGAUAGGACCACUGCCUGCAUGGGUGGUGGUGGAAAGCUUUUGCGGUGUGGGAUGGGCCCGCGGCCUAUCAGCUUGUUGGUGGGGUGAUGGCCUACCAAGGCGAAGACGGGUAGCCGGCCUGAGAGGGUGACCGGCCACACUGGGACUGAGAUACGGCCCAGACUCCUACGGGAGGCAGCAGUGGGGAAUAUUGCUCAAUGGGCGCAAGCCUGAUGCAGCGACGCCGCGUGAGGGAUGACGGCCUUCGGGUUGUAAACCUCUUUCAGCACCGACGAAGCGCAAGUGACGGUAGGUGCAGAAGAAGGACCGGCCAACUACGUGCCAGCCGCCGCUGUAA